This 497-nucleotide ribosomal RNA is filed under the name uncultured bacterium. Its description in RNAcentral is "partial 16S ribosomal RNA". It matches the Rfam family "Bacterial small subunit ribosomal RNA", at positions 28 to 507 of the family's 1533-position model. The record is from RNAcentral.
GAUGAACGCUGGCGGCGUGCCUAAUACAUGCAAGUCGAGCGAACGGACGAGAAGCUUGCUUCUCUGAUGUUAGCGGCGGACGGGUGAGUAACACGUGGAUAACCUACCUAUAAGACUGGGAUAACUUCGGGAAACCGGAGCUAAUACCGGAUAAUAUUUUGAACCGCAUGGUUCAAAAGUGAAAGACGGUCUUGCUGUCACUUAUAGAUGGAUCCGCGCUGCAUUAGCUAGUUGGUAAGGUAACGGCUUACCAAGGCAACGAUGCAUAGCCGACCUGAGAGGGGGGUCGGAGCAACUGGAAGUGAGAGAAGGGACGGAGGAAGAAGGGAGGGAGGAGUAGGGAAUCGUUAGGAAGGGACGAAAGUCGUAAGAGUCAAUGAAGAGUGAGUGAUGAAUGUAUUAGUAUCGUAAAACUUCGUGAUUAGGGAAAAACAGAGGGGCAAGUAAAGGUGCAAACCUUGACGGGACAGAAUCAGAAAGCGAGAGCGAACUACAUG